GGGUACAUAAGCAACAUUCAUCCUACCGAAUCAGUGCUUGGAUGCAUUUUAUAGGAUGCACAUAAGAAAAAUCAGCACAGUCUAAUGAAAAUUCCUUUAUACAAUCCUUGGAAAUUGUAGGAAGCAAAAACAGGACGUCAGGAAAAAAAAUACCUGCUGCUUAUUCCUUCGAUCCCCAGUUCUGAAAAAAUCUCUUUCAUAACUAGAAUUAAAAAACAAAGGUUGGAUGGACUGAAUUUUAUCUGCAAUUUUUAGUAGCAGAUAAGGACCUCAAGGAGUUACAAGGGAUGACAUGUCCUGGAUAUGUUGCUCUGGUAAAAGUGUCCUUUACUUGCCUGGCUUCUGGUUCCAUUUUCUUUGAACAUGAAGAUAAAUUGCUCUGAAUUUGUCAUCCUUGCAGUGUUGUGCUGGUGCAUUGCACCCUCUAAUGAUUUUAGAUUUGCUGCAACUUGUGUUGUUGCUUUUGUGCAUAAACCAAAAUAUUAAUAAUCUAAGUGCUCUUCUUCAUA
Non-coding RNA from Pseudonaja textilis, 509 nucleotides. The record is from RefSeq and is a predicted model, not a curated record. NCBI's taxonomy places the organism in Eukaryota, Metazoa, Chordata, Lepidosauria, Squamata, Elapidae.